Molecule: long non-coding RNA, 2809 nt
Filed under: Mus musculus (house mouse)
Lineage: Eukaryota; Metazoa; Chordata; Mammalia; Rodentia; Muridae
Description: long non-coding RNA chr1:104906522-104909331
Source: RNAcentral
UCAACAUAUUCCCCCCAAAACUCAAAGGACUUGCUUGGAUUCUCCCUCCUUAUACUCAACAUUCCCACUCAAACACUAUAGUGUGUGCUGCCUUGUUAAUCUUGCCACUAGUGAAGAAAUGUGUGUGAGACAGGAUGCCCAGGAAAGAAGCUGUAUCUACUCUGAUCAGAUGGGAUGUUGUACUCAGUGGCAGAGCACUUGCCUCACAUAUGCAAUGUUCCAGGUUCAAUCCCCAGUACCAAUUUUUUUUAAAUUAACAAAUAUGUUGUGAAUGUGUCUCCUCAGUGGCUAAGAUCACUUGUUGCUCUUGCAUAGGACCAGAGUUUGGUUUCUAGGUGACUCAUAAUCACCUACAACUCUAUCUCUGGGGGAUCUGAUGCACUCUUCUGGCCUCUGUAGACAUCCAUAGUCACUUGUGUAUAAAUACAAACAUGUGCACUUAAAAUAAUAAAGUAAGUCUUUUAAAAAUAAUUUUAAAAACUUCAAAAGAAAUGUAAACUCAAAAGACCCUAAGCCAGAGAUCAAGAAAAUGAAAUGUGCACCCUCCCAAAAGGCAGCGUUAUCAGUCCUGAGGAUGGCUCUGCAAAGUAAUCCUUCUCUUCCCUGCCCACACAGGCCCUGGAGAUGCCUUCAUACAAAACACAUUAAAGGAGAUAACAUAUGUAAAGCAGCCAGUGUGGAGCCCAGCAGAUAUUAGGGAUUCAAUAAAUAUUAGUUCCUAUCCCUAUUACAAAGAACAGGGGCUACAGUAUUUGUAUAAUUCUUUGGCCAUUAUCAUUGUGUAGCACAGUGAGAAGUAUGUGCAUAAUUAAAUAUGUAUCACUAUGGUAAUUUUGUUUUUAAAUUUUAUUGAUAACAUCAUUAUCUACAUUAUGUAAGCUCAGAGUAGUUUUUGCUUAUGUGGCAUGGCUUUCUGUUCAUAACCUUACUUUUAAAAAGGCACAUUGAAGAGAAAAGCAGUUUAAUAACUUCUUAGAACAGUUCCUUCUGUGUAAGCCCCAAUGAACCCACAUCCUCCACCUUUUUCUCCCCAACAAACUUACCUCCUCUAUACAUUUUCUCCCCGCCCCCCAAUGACAUUUUCUCUUUUGAACCCCUUUAAAAAUAAAAAUUUAAAAACAUUACUUUGUCACUGCUAGCAAAGACCAAGGAUUCUCCAGGAGUCUCCUCUUCCAUCUGUUUCUGGAUACAUCAAUGCAUGGUGUAGUUCAGUCUUACACUACACACCCCUGCUCUCACUAUAAGAGCUGAUGCUUCCCUGCCAGAACAACGUUUGAUUCAAACUCAUUGAUCAAAACACUAGCUGGAGGUGAAUGUGAGCUGUGACACCAAACCACAAGGAGCUAAAAGCAAUCACACCUAUUUAUCAAUAUCUGAGACCAGAAGAAAACAUUAGCAUCAGAUUGAAAAAUAGCCAGACCCCUCAAGCUUGAAAGCAGACAUUAGUGAAUAAUCCCAGAGCUGAAGUUGACAUUGGGCUUGUGGGGAAAACAUGUAGAACUCUCCAUUAUGAUCUAGAUGGGAAUUGUUCUUGUUUUUUAAAUCUAGGAAGUCACUGACGGUAAUUUAAAACAACUCCUCUACUGUAUUUACUAAUGAAAACAAUCUUCUUGACUCAUAACUUAUGUCAGAAAAUGACAAUAUCCACAUGUGUGCACAUGUGCAUACAGAAGUGCAUGUUCAGUGUUAGUGGGGGCUGGAGAUCAGUGUUGGUCACUUUCCUCAAUUUGUCAUAGUCUUAUUUCUGAGAACUGGAAUCUUACUGAAACCGAUUCAUGAAUUUAUCCAGUCUAGCUAGAGGCCAGUAAGCUUCAAGAAUCCCCCUGUCUCUGUGCCCCUGGCACUGAGAUUGCAGAUGCAUGCCACAAUGCCCAGCUUUCAGCAUGGGUACAGGGAUCCAUACUCAGGUCCUCUUUAUUGGAUGCCAAUCAUACUAGCUAAGCCUAGGCCCAGUCCUGAAGAAAGCUUUAAAAGUGCUCAUCAUAGAAUUUACACAAGUGAGGAGAUAAAGUUGCUGGCCUGGUUAUUCAAGAAUAUCACUUGAUACUGUUUUAAAUUGAAAUUUAAGUGGAAAAUAAAAUCAUUCUCAAUAGACAUUAACAUGAAUACACACUCCUGCAGCCACACCAAAAAGAAGCUAUUUACAGUAGUCAUUCUCUACCUCUUGUAUUUCCAAGUCCUAUGAAAGUGAAAGCUACCAUUUCUUUGUUUGUGUGGGUAUGUUGCAGCUCUGUGUGAAGCUCUUCAGUGAUGACUGAGUCCCAAAGAUAUAUCAAUCUUUACCCCCUGGUGCUAGAUUUAUAUUCAUAUGCAAUCACAUCUGGCUUUUCACAUGGGUAUUGGAUAUCCACACUUAGUCCUCAGAUUUGCACAGCAAGUAUUUCACUAACUGAGCUAUGUUCCCCAGCCUACAGCAUUCUAGUUAAGACACUCACACUUCCCAUAUCAUAACUGUGUGGGCCUUUAGUAUACAUAUUUCCAGUCACACUAAAUUAAAAAUAGAAAUGGCAAGAAUAAGAACCCUGUAGCUAGCUAGAAUUACCAGGGUGGUAAAACAAAACAAAACAAAACAAAACAAACACCUCUACAAAUUGAUAAAUAUUAUAAUAGAUAUCUCCAAAACAAUUUUAAAUUCUAACUGUAGUAUCUUAAAAUAAAGUAAUUCUUAAUUCUGAGAAAGAAUGACCUAGACUGAAUAUUCAUUAUUGAGUGAACUUUAAUAGUUUGCUUAAAAAGUAACUAUGUAGGUCUGACCAGAUGGCUUAGACAAACCUGAGUUUAAGUCCAGAGAAGAAGAAAAAUGAAUCCC